GACGAACGCUGGCGGCGUGCUUAACACAUGCAAGUCGUACGGUAAGGCCCUUUCGGGGGUACACGAGUGGCGCACGGGUGAGUAACACGUGAGUAACCUGCCCACAACUUUGGGAUAACGCUAGGAAACUGGUGCUAAUACUGGAUAUGUGCUCCUGCUGCAUGGUGGGGGUUGGAAAGCUCCGGCGGUUGUGGAUGGACUCGCGGCCUAUCAGCUUGUUGGUGGGGUAGUGGCCUACCAAGGCGGCGACGGGUAGCCGGCCUGAGAGGGUGACCGGCGACAUUGGGACUGAGAUACGGCCCAGACUCCUACGGGAGGCAGAAGUGGGGAAUAUUGCACAAUGGGCGCAAGCCUGAUGCAGCAACGCCGCGUGCGGGAUGACGGCCUUCGGGUUGUAAACCGAUUUCAGCAGGGACGAAGCUUUUUGUGACGGUACCUGCAGAAGAAGCACCGGCUAACUACGUG
Molecule: ribosomal RNA, 465 nt
Filed under: uncultured bacterium
Lineage: Bacteria
Description: partial 16S ribosomal RNA
Rfam family: Bacterial small subunit ribosomal RNA
Source: RNAcentral